AACGCGAAGAACCUUACCUGGGCUCGAAGCACAGUGGACCGGGGUAGAAAUAUCCCUUUUCGCAAGAACUGCUGUGGAGGUGCUGCAUGGCUGUCGUCAGCUCGUGUCGUGAGAUGUUGGGUUAAGUCCCGCAACGAGCGCAACCCUUAUCGUUAGUUGCCAGCGAGUCAAGUCGGGCACUCUAGCGAAACCGCCCCGGAUAACGGGGAGGAAGGUGGGGAUGACGUCAAGUCCUCAUGGCCUUUAUGUCCAGGGCUACACACGUGCUACAAUGGUCGGUACAAACCGUCGCAAACCUGCGAAGGGGAGCUAAUCGGAAAAAGCCGGCCUCAGUUCGGAUUGGAGUCUGCAACUCGACUCCAUGAAGCUGGAAUCGCUAGUAAUCGCGGAUCAGCACGCCGCGGUGAAUACGUUCCCGGGCCUUGUA
Molecule: ribosomal RNA, 427 nt
Filed under: uncultured Acidobacterium sp.
Lineage: Bacteria; Pseudomonadati; Acidobacteriota; Terriglobia; Terriglobales; Acidobacteriaceae
Description: bacterial SSU rRNA
Rfam family: Bacterial small subunit ribosomal RNA
Source: RNAcentral